GGAAGCAGUUGCAAGGUGAACAGAGCAGAGGGAUGGCAGGUCUACUAUGUUGAUCCCCUCCAUUAGAAGGUGCUCAAAUCAGAGAUAAAGCUGCUGAAGAGCUGCUGACUCUUUGUGGCAGUGCCUAUCUAUGGAUCUAGUUACAGAGGCUACUAAUCUGAGUGCUUUCACUGAUUUCAACAGAGUGGUACCAAUUGGAGGUAUGCAGUAAAGUUCCCUACCUAUUUCAGUCUUUUUCAGCUUCUUGACUGGAGCCAUGGAGGGAGACCAGUGCCGGCUCAUGGAUGGUGCUGGAGGAGCACUGUGCACGGAGGCCACAGUGCUUGGCGUGGUAUUGGACAGCUGGUCCGGUGCCAGAAUGAGUGCCGAGUCCAUUAGGAGCACUCUUAGACGCAUAUUGCGCUCCUUUGUCCUAGGGCUGAAGGACUUGCAGAUAUGGCACUUGUCACUUAUGUGACUCUGACCCCCGGCUGGGUCCCAUUCAGGACUAAUGGAGAAUUUGAGAACUACUACUAAUGGUAACUAAGAAAACUACUAAUUACAGAUAACUAUUUUACUGGAUUUCAAAGUUCGCAAGAACAGAGAAGGAAUCAAUGCUAGCCAAAGCAGCAGACGUUCUAGCACCGUCACUGGUGGCAAGAAGGAACUGAGGGUUGGGGGGAGGCGGCAGCAACUCUUAUACCGCACCAUGCGGGCGCCACUCCAGAGGGCGCCAGAGCCAGUUCUGUACGGAUACUGCUGAGAGAAAAACUUCCGGCAUAGGUGCAUGAGGUGAGCACACAAACCUUAUAUGGAAUGGACAUGAGCAGGCACUUGAAGAAUCAACACUUCUCACCAAAAAAUUCAUUUUUGAAAAAACAGUCAUUUUUCAAAGAAGAAACUUUGGGUGAAAAAUUUCAACCAGCUCUAGUAUACACAAAUUAGUUGGAGGGGAACAAUUCCAAAGUAAGA
Molecule: long non-coding RNA, 951 nt
Organism: Mauremys reevesii (Reeves's turtle)
Lineage: Eukaryota; Metazoa; Chordata; Testudines; Geoemydidae
Exons: 3
Source: RefSeq, a predicted model, not a curated record